ACAGAGUAUGGAUCGGAUAAGAAAUAGAGACCGAUUGGGUCUAGAAUGUUACAGAUAGAUUUGGGAAUAAUCAGAGUCCGUGUAAUUUAAUUUUAUCUGUUAGUUAGAGUUAAUUUAGAAUUUUCUUUUAUCUAUAAGAGAGUUAGAGUCCAAUAUGGACUUGUAUGUUAGAGAGUCUAAAUAGGAGUUUGUUAUUUCUUUUGAUCUGUUAAGAGUUGUAUGUCGUGUCCAACACAGCCUAGCCUCCACCCGAGGGUAUAAAUAUGUAUGUCCGGAAUCAUUGUAAAUCAUCUACAAUCAGAUCAAUCAAAUUUCGGCGCAUCGGC
RNAcentral lists this long non-coding RNA (326 nucleotides) under Oryza brachyantha (malo sina). Its description in RNAcentral is "long non-coding RNA (OBRA_LNC000993)". Lineage: Eukaryota; Viridiplantae; Streptophyta; Magnoliopsida; Poales; Poaceae. The record is from RNAcentral.